AAAAAAGACACAACUGCCAUACCCAUUUAAUACAUUAGUAUAAAUAGAAACUGAUUGUAAAAACAAAAACAUAUUGAAAUAUCUGCCGCUGAAAAUUUUGGGAUUCCCCGCUUAUCUGGUAAAUGUUGUAAAUUAAUAACUCAAUUGACACUCCCUUGUCUCGCAUCUCUUCGAAAAAAAUCAGACCACCGUUAGAUACCUGCAAUUUCACAUGGGACUGGUUUAUGCGCAUUUAAU
Molecule: long non-coding RNA, 237 nt
Filed under: Mytilus galloprovincialis (Mediterranean mussel)
Lineage: Eukaryota; Metazoa; Mollusca; Bivalvia; Mytilida; Mytilidae
Source: RNAcentral